GAUGAACGCUGGCGGCGUGCCUAAUACAUGCAAGUCGAGCGAACGGACGAGAAGCUUGCUUCUCUGAUGUUAGCGGCGGACGGGUGAGUAACACGUGGAUAACCUACCUAUAAGACUGGGAUAACUUCGGGAAACCGGAGCUAAUACCGGAUAAUAUUUUGAAACGCAGGGUUCAAAAGAGAAAGACGGUCUUGCUGUCACUAAUAGAGAGAUCCGCGCUGCAUUAGCUAGUUGGUAAGGUAACGGCUUACCAAGGCAACGAUGCAUAGCCGACCUGAGAGGGUGAUCGGCCACACUGGAACUGAGACACGGUCCAGACUCCUACGGGAGGCAGCAGUAGGGAAUCUUCCGCAAUGGGCGAAAGCCUGACGGAGCCACGCCGCGUGAGUGAUGAAGGUCUUCGGAUCGUAAAACUCUGUUAUUAGGGAAGAACAUAUGUGUAAUUAACUGUGCACAUCUUGACGGUACCUAAUCAGAAAGCCCCGGCUAACUACGUG
This 497-nucleotide ribosomal RNA is filed under the name uncultured bacterium. RNAcentral's name for it is "partial 16S ribosomal RNA". It matches the Rfam family "Bacterial small subunit ribosomal RNA", at positions 28 to 507 of the family's 1533-position model. The record is from RNAcentral.